CGUACUGUAAGAAGCCUGAAGCAUUCAUUAGAGCGGAGCCAAAGGUUAUAUUAACUUAUUCUUGGAGUUUAAUCCGAUGAACCCGUUAAAAAUGAAGUCUGGGCAUUAUCUGAAACACCCCGACGUGUCAAACUCCUCCAAUGUACAACAAGUGCUAAUUGCAAAUCCAGUUCGACACGGGAAUGGGUUUGAUAGAGGCAUACCGUAUGCGCUGGCAGGACAGCAUCUGGGUGGUGCCACCUCCACAAAUCCAAACAGUAAAGAAGACCACGAGCAGAGUGGUGGAGAACAUCAUCUGACGGGCGUAUGUCGCCGUGUCCCUGAUGGACAGAGCGAAGGUCAUCGCACCUCGCAGCCCUGAAGAGCACAGCACGGAGUUUGUUGUUCCACACAAAACAAGUAAGACAAACUAGAACGUGUUCCUAAAAGCCUAAAAAGAUGUUUUACAGCGGGAUAAAUAGACACCGUUAAAUGUCCUCUCCUAUCUGUGUGAACUGUAAUAUAAUAUACCACUCACCCGCAAACAUCAUCAUGUGCUGGAAGUUGGAUCGGAUCUUGUUGCGUCGUCCCAGAUUAAGAAGUAACGAGAGAGGGUAGAUGUUCGCAGCUCUUCCCAGGAACACUGCCACCUGGUUGGGAACGAGGUUAAGGAAAGGACAACAAAAACAGAGAGCUACUGAAGUCUCCUCACUCUGUGUCAAACGGGCAGUUCCAGAUUCCUACUCCAAUACUUACAUGCAAGUGUAAAUAGUGCGAUCAAGCCAAGAGUUACGUCAGGCUUAGUGCGAACCAGAUCCAGUUCCAUUAUGCAAAAGAUACAAAAGCUCCAACGAUGAACAUGGGAUUGAAGACAUGGCUCUGGAAGGUGAACAAGGUCAGACCCAUGUAGGAGAAAAUGAAGUUCUCUGCCAGGAAAUUUAGCAGCUCAAACAACUGCAACACAAGAGAAACAACAUCAACUGAUUUAGAUUAACUGAUUAAACUCACCAAGAAACACAGCGGAGAAAUGCAACAGCUAAACCUUAGAAUUUCAGUGCACAUAUAAAUGCAGUUAUUUUGCAUUAUUAUACUUAAAAGACAAAGCACCCAAUACCUGCACACACACUUACACUGAACCUGUUCAUAGGCCUGAGACAACAGGAAGGGUUCGAGCUUAGAUUUAAAUGUGUAUUCUGUUUUUAAAGAUCGCAAGGAAUGAGGAAAAGAGUUCCAUUGUGUGUGUGGAGUGAAGAAGAGAAGAGUAAAGUAGAGGUUCAAUGCAAUAGUCAAAAUAAAAGGCACAAAACAUUGAAGAAAGAAAGGCAGAAUGAGCCGUGUUUGUCGUCCGGGUCUGACCUGCUUGGUCCUGUCCUGGGAAUCAGGAGACAGGUUGUUGAAGGUGUAGUGGGCCUGAGUGAUGCCACAGAACAGCACUGCGACCACACCUGCAACACACCAGGAGGGACGGAGAUACAUAAGUUUCAGGAGUAUAUUAUACAGUAAAUUAUAUUUAUUACACAUACAUAUAAUACAUUCCUGUUUACAUCUAUGUGUGUGUAUAUAUUUUCUGUCUGUCUUUUGAUUCUCAUUUUGCUUUUAAUUGUGCAAUUCCUGCAACUGCUUCACUGUAAUUAUUGAGCAUAUGGUAAUAAAGAACUUGAAACUUGAGUUAGAAGAUAAACAAACACUGAUUAUUAAC
Molecule: long non-coding RNA, 1678 nt
Organism: Cottoperca gobio
Lineage: Eukaryota; Metazoa; Chordata; Actinopteri; Perciformes; Bovichtidae
Exons: 3
Source: RefSeq, a predicted model, not a curated record